RNAcentral lists this ribosomal RNA (253 nucleotides) under uncultured bacterium. RNAcentral's name for it is "partial 16S ribosomal RNA". It matches the Rfam family "Bacterial small subunit ribosomal RNA", at positions 524 to 776 of the family's 1533-position model. The record is from RNAcentral.
UACAGAGGUGGCAAGCGUUGUUCGGAAUUACUGGGCGUAAAGGGCGCGUAGGCGGUCUUGUAAGUCUCGUGUGAAAUCCCUCGGCUUAACUGAGGAACUGCACGGGAUACUGCUUGACUUGAGUUCGGGAGAGGGAAGCGGAAUUCCGGGUGUAGUGGUGAAAUGCGUAGAUAUCCGGAGGAACACCGGUGGCGAAGGCGGCUUCCUGGACCGACACUGACGCUGAGGCGCGAAAGCUAGGGGAGCAAACGGG